This 569-nucleotide ribosomal RNA is filed under the name uncultured organism. RNAcentral's name for it is "eukaryotic LSU rRNA". The stretch from base 194 to 347 matches the Rfam family "5.8S ribosomal RNA". The record is from RNAcentral.
UGUAGGUGAACCUGCGGAGGGAUCAUUACACAAAUAUGAAGGCGGGCUGGAACCUCUCGGGGUUACAGCCUUGCUGAAUUAUUCACCCUUGUCUUUUGCGUACUUCUUGUUUCCUUGGUGGGUUCGCCCACCACUAGGACAAACAUAAACCUUUUGUAAUUGCAAUCAGCGUCAGUAACAAAUUAAUAAUUACAACUUUCAACAACGGAUCUCUUGGUUCUGGCAUCGAUGAAGAACGCAGCGAAAUGCGAUAAGUAGUGUGAAUUGCAGAAUUCAGUGAAUCAUCGAAUCUUUGAACGCACAUUGCGCCCUUUGGUAUUCCAAAGGGCAUGCCUGUUCGAGCGUCAUUUGUACCCUCAAGCUUUGCUUGGUGUUGGGCGUCUUGUCUCUAGCUUUGCUGGAGACUCGCCUUAAAGUAAUUGGCAGCCGGCCUACUGGUUUCGGAGCGCAGCACAAGUCGCACUCUCUAUCAGCAAAGGUCUAGCAUCCAUUAAGCCUUUUUUUCAACUUUUGACCUCGGAUCAGGUAGGGAUACCCGCUGAACUUAAGCAUAUCAAUAAGCGGAGGAA